This is a non-coding RNA of Lepisosteus oculatus (spotted gar), 218 nucleotides long. The record is from RefSeq and is a predicted model, not a curated record. NCBI's taxonomy places the organism in Eukaryota, Metazoa, Chordata, Actinopteri, Semionotiformes, Lepisosteidae.
UUCUGGGGGAGUAUAAUAUACAUAGUUUCUGGGAUUCUCUCUAUUUUGGCCAAGAAGAAAGUCACCCCUUGCCUGGUGAAGGCUUCGCUUGGGAUGAACAUCUUCAGCACCAUCACAGCUGGCAUCUGCAUCAUCAUGUAUUCCAUGGAUAUGUUCAUUUGGUCUUAUUAUGGCAACUGCUCAUAUUACGACCACUGCUACAAUAACUAUUUGUACCA